Molecule: ribosomal RNA, 302 nt
Filed under: uncultured bacterium
Lineage: Bacteria
Description: partial 16S ribosomal RNA
Rfam family: Bacterial small subunit ribosomal RNA
Source: RNAcentral
GCAGCAGCCGCGGGAAUACGUAGGUGGCAAGCGUUGUCCGGAAUUAUUGGGCGUAAAGGGCUCGCAGGCGGUUUCUUAAGUCUGAUGUGAAAGCCCCCGGCUCAACCGGGGAGGGUCAUUGGAAACUGGGAAACUUGAGUGCAGAAGAGGAGAGUGGAAUUCCACGUGUAGCGGUGAAAUGCGUAGAGAUGUGGAGGAACACCAGUGGCGAAGGCGACUCUCUGGUCUGUAACUGACGCUGAGGAGCGAAAGCGUGGGGAGCGAACAGGAUUAGAUACCCCUGUAGUCCCUGUCUCUUAUAC